This 468-nucleotide ribosomal RNA is filed under the name uncultured bacterium. RNAcentral describes it as "partial 16S ribosomal RNA". It matches the Rfam family "Bacterial small subunit ribosomal RNA", at positions 28 to 507 of the family's 1533-position model. The record is from RNAcentral.
GACGAACGCUGGCGGCGUGCUUAACACAUGCAAGUCGAACGGAAAGGCCCUGCUUUUGUGGGGUGCUCGAGUGGCGAACGGGUGAGUAACACGUGAGUAACCUGCCCUUGACUUUGGGAUAACUUCAGGAAACUGGGGCUAAUACCGGAUAGGAGCUCCUGCUGCAUGGUGGGGGUUGGAAAGUUUCGGCGGUUGGGGAUGGACUCGCGGCUUAUCAGCUUGUUGGUGGGGUAGUGGCUUACCAAGGCUUUGACGGGUAGCCGGCCUGAGAGGGUGACCGGCCACAUUGGGAAUGAGAUACGGCCCAGACUCCUACGGGAGGCAGCAGUGGGGAAUAUUGCACAAUGGGCGGAAGACUGAUGCAGCAACGCCGCGUGCGGGAUGACGGCCUUCGGGUUGUAAACCGCUUUCGCCUGUGACGAAGCGUGAGUGACGGUAAUGUGUAGAGAAGCACCGGCUAACUACGUG